GGGAGUACGGUCGCAAGAUUAAAACUCAAAGGAAUUGANCGGGGGCCCGCACAAGCCGGUGGAGCAUGUGGCUUAAUUCGAAGCAACGCGAAGAACCUUACCAGCCCUUGACUUGGGGAGUGUGGGUCGCAGAGAUGUGACCCUUCAGUUCGGCUGGCUCCCACACAGGUGCUGCAUGGCUGUCGUCAGCUCGUGUCGUGAGAUGUUGGGUUAAGUCCCGCAACGAGCGCAACCCUCAUCUUCAGUUGCCAUCAUUAAGUUGGGCACUCUGAAGAAACUGCCGGUGACAAGCCGGAGGAAGGCGGGGAUGACGUCAAGUCCUCAUGGCCCUUACGGGCUGGGCUACACACGUGCUACAAUGGCGGUGACAGUGGGAUGCCAAGGGGGCGACCCCGCGCCAAUCUCAAAAAGCCGUCUCAGUUCGGAUUGUACUCUGCAACUCGAGUGCAUGAAGUUGGAAUCGCUAGUAAUCGUGGAUCAGCACGCCACGGUGAAUACGUUCCCGGGCCUUGUACACACCGCCCGUCACACCAUGGGAGUUGGUUUUACCCGAAGCCGGUGCGCUAACCGCAAGGAGGCAGCCGACCACGGUAGGGUCAGCGACUGGGGUGAAGUCGUAACAAGGUACC
RNAcentral lists this ribosomal RNA (629 nucleotides) under uncultured bacterium. Its description in RNAcentral is "bacterial SSU rRNA". It matches the Rfam family "Bacterial small subunit ribosomal RNA", at positions 876 to 1500 of the family's 1533-position model. The record is from RNAcentral.